RNAcentral lists this unclassified non-coding RNA (202 nucleotides) under Hevea brasiliensis (rubber tree). The record is from RNAcentral. Lineage: Eukaryota; Viridiplantae; Streptophyta; Magnoliopsida; Malpighiales; Euphorbiaceae.
CAGGCAUCAUGAAGAGUCUUAGUCUUUGUAGCUACUGCUUGGUGUUGCAACUGAAGUCCAUUAAAUAAAUCCAGAGUUUCAUCCACCUGAAGAAGUAUAUCAUCACAUGUCUGUAUGCGCUCUGUCAAAGUGUUAACAUAGUGCUGAUACUUCUCCUCUGUCUCUGAUUUCAAGGCUGAUUCAAGAUCUGUAAACCAUUUGU